RNAcentral lists this unclassified non-coding RNA (240 nucleotides) under uncultured Agaricales. RNAcentral describes it as "sequence contains ITS1". The record is from RNAcentral. Lineage: Eukaryota; Fungi; Basidiomycota; Agaricomycetes; Agaricales.
UUGAAUGAACUUGGUGUGGUUGUUGCUGGCCCUCUCGGGGGCAUGUGCACACCCGCCAUCCUCAUCUCUCCACCUGUGCACCUCUUGUAGACCUGGAUAGACUUUCCGAGGCAACUCGGUCGGGAAGAUUGCUGCGCUCUGUGAGCCAGCUUUCUUUGCAUGUCCAGGCCUAUGUUUUUCAUAUACCCCUAUAGAAUGUAACAGAAUGUAUCAUUGGGCCUUGUGCCUAUAAACCUUAUA